CCUACGGGAGGCAGCAGUAAGGAAUCUUCCACAAUGGACGAAAGUCUGAUGGAGCAACGCCGCGUGCAGGAUGAAGGCUUUCGGGUCGUAAACUGCUUUUAUAUGGGAAGAUUAUGACGGUACCAUAUGAAUAAGGACCGGCUAACUACGUGCCAGCAGCCGCGGUAAUACGUAGGGUCCAAGCGAUAUCCGGAAUUACUGGGCGUAAAGCGUGUGUAGGUGGAUUAAUAAGUGUGAUGCGAAAUCCGGCGGCUCAACCGUUUGGACUGUGUCGCAUACUGUUAGUCUAGAGGACGGCAGAGGUAAGUGGAAUUACGGGUGUAGCAGUGAAAUGCGUAGAUAUCCGUAGGAACACCAAUGGCGAAGGCAGCUUACUGGGCCACGCCUGACACUGAGACACGAAAGCGUGGGGAGCGAACAGGAUUAGAUACCCUGGUAGUCCACGCCGUAAACGAUAGCAUACUAUUAGUAUAGGGUAGUCGUACCCUCGUGCUGAGAAGACUAACGACGAUAAGUAAUGCCGCCGUCGGGAGGUACGAGACGCGAAGACGUUAAAACUAACAAAGAAGUAAGUAGACGNGAGAGACGCGACGACGACGACGAGGAGGAGGAG
This 613-nucleotide ribosomal RNA is filed under the name uncultured bacterium. RNAcentral describes it as "bacterial SSU rRNA". The stretch from base 1 to 525 matches the Rfam family "Bacterial small subunit ribosomal RNA", at positions 338 to 873 of the family's 1533-position model. The record is from RNAcentral.